Molecule: ribosomal RNA, 254 nt
Filed under: uncultured bacterium
Lineage: Bacteria
Description: partial 16S ribosomal RNA
Rfam family: Bacterial small subunit ribosomal RNA
Source: RNAcentral
UACGGGGGGAGCAAGCGUUGUUCGGAUUUACUGGGCGUAAAGGGCGCGUAGGCGGCCAGUGCAAGUCAGUUGUGAAAUCUCCGAGCUUAACUCGGAAAGGUCAACUGAUACUGCUCGGCUAGAGUGCGGAAGGGGCAACUGGAAUUCUUGGUGUAGCGGUGAAAUGCGUAGAUAUCAAGAGGAACACCUGCGGCGAAGGCGGGUUGCUGGGCCGACACUGACGCUGAUGCGCGAAAGCCAGGGGAGCGAACGGG